RNAcentral lists this ribosomal RNA (253 nucleotides) under uncultured bacterium. RNAcentral's name for it is "partial 16S ribosomal RNA". It matches the Rfam family "Bacterial small subunit ribosomal RNA", at positions 524 to 776 of the family's 1533-position model. The record is from RNAcentral.
UACGUAGGGGGCUAGCGUUGUCCGGAAUCAUUGGGCGUAAAGCGCGCGUAGGCGGCCCGGUAAGUCCGUUGUAAAAGUCAAAGGCUCAACCUUUGAAUGUCAGUGGAUACUGCCGGGCUAGAGUCCGGAAGAGGCGAGUGGAAUUCCUGGUGUAGCGGUGGAAUGCGCAGAUAUCAGGAGGAACACCAACGGCGAAGGCAGCUCGCUAGGACGGUACUGACGCUAAGGCGCGAAAGCGUGGGGAGCGAACAGG